Molecule: long non-coding RNA, 311 nt
Filed under: Rosa chinensis
Lineage: Eukaryota; Viridiplantae; Streptophyta; Magnoliopsida; Rosales; Rosaceae
Description: sRNA RchiOBHm_Chr7g0235531
Source: RNAcentral
UUCUCAAUCAUCCUACCAUAGCAUUGGAAGAAAAAAGAAUCAUAUUUUAGAUGUUCCAGCUUCUGUGGGCUGUGCUUGGUCGUCAUUGGUAUAGUCCCUGGUGGAAGGAAGGUUUAUGUUGGUAAAAUUGGGCAGGAGUUGACAGGUCAAACAGCCCACAGACUAUGCUCAAAGGAAAGUUGAAACAGCUUGUGAAGGCCAGAAGAAGGAAAGCCAAAAAAUAAAAAUAGAUGAAUUUCAUGCCAUGACGGGCAUUAGUUGUAAUUGGAACUGGUAUGGGUAUAGGAAAUACAGAUUGGAGCCUAUUAAUU